UACAGAGGUCCCAAGCGUUGUUCGGAUUCAUUGGGCGUAAAGGGUGCGUAGGUGGCGCUGUAAGUCGGGUGUGAAAUCUCCGGGCUCAACCCGGAAAUGGCAUUGGAAACUACCUUGCUGGAGGAUUUGAGGGGGGAUUGGAAUACUUGGUGUAGCAGUGAAAUGCGUAGAUAUCAAGUGGAACACCAGUGGCGAAGGCGAAUCCCUGGAAAAUACCUGACACUGAGGCACGAAAGCUAGGGGAGCAAACAGG
Molecule: ribosomal RNA, 253 nt
Filed under: uncultured bacterium
Lineage: Bacteria
Description: partial 16S ribosomal RNA
Rfam family: Bacterial small subunit ribosomal RNA
Source: RNAcentral